AUGGCGCCUGCCGAGGACGGCCAGCAGCCGCCGCUUCACAUGCUCUUCGCGGCUCGCGGCGUCCGGUGCACCAUCCUCACCACGCCCGUGCAAGCCUCCAUCAUCCGCUCCAUCGUCGACCUCUCUUCCCCACCAAUCGACAUCGCUGUCGUGCCUUUCCCUGACGUCGGUCUCCUGCCGGGCACCCAGAGCGGCUCCGGUGGUGACCAUGGCAAGCUCCAGCAGGCGGCGCGGCAGCUCCGGGAGCCCUUCCGGCAGUUCCUCGCCGACCACCACGUCGAGAUCGACGCCGUGGUCUCCGAUAGCUUCUUCCCCUGGUCGCUGGACGUCACGGCCGAGUAUGGCGUCCCGCGCCUAGCGUUCCUCGGCACCAGCAUGUUCGCCCGGUGCUGCGCCGAAAGCAUGCUGCGGAACGACAACCCCGACGACGACGACGACGACGACGAGGGUGAUCCCAACGCCGUAUUAUCCGUGCCCGGGAUGCCGCACCACGUGGAGCUGAGGCGGAGCCAGUUGAUGAGGCACCCCGACCAGUUGACGUUUGUCAAGGGCAUCUACGCCGCUGACCAGAAAAGCUACGGCGAGCUGGUCAACAGCUUCCACGAGCUCGAGCUGGGCUACGUGGAGCACUACCGCACGACGCUCCGCCGCCGCGCGUGGCUCGUCGGGCCGGUCGCGCUCGCCAGCGGCAGCAAGGACGAGGCGUCCAGAGGCACCGACGUGCUCUCGCCGGACGCAGACGGCUGCAUCCCCUGGCUCGACGCCAAGCCGGCUGGAUCGGUAGUGUACGUCGCCUUCGGCACGCUAGCCAGCUUCUCGCCAGAGCAGCUCCGGGAGCUCGCCCGCGGCCUCGACCUCUCCGGCAAGAACUUCGUGUGGGUCAUCUCCGGCGCCGACGCAGCAUCGUCGGACAUAUGGAUGCCGGAAGGCUUCCCAACGGCUUCCCGUGGUUACAUCAUCCGCGGCUGGGCGCAACAGGUACUCAUCUUAAACCACCCAGCCGUCGGCGACUUCCUGACGCACUGUGGGUGGAACUCGACGCUGGAGGCGGUGAGCGCCGGCGUGCCGAUGGUGACGUGGCCGCGCCACGCCGACCAGUUCUUCAACGAGAAGCUGGUCGUGGACGUGCUCGAGGUCGGCGUCAGCGUCGGCGCCAAGGACUACGGGUCGUCCAUGGAGACCCAUCGGGUGAUCGGCGCCGAGGUGAUCGCCGGCGCCGUCGGGACAUUGAUGGAGGUCCAAGGCGACGCGAUGCGAAGCAGGGCGAGGGACCUCGGAAUAAAAGCGAGGAGCGCGGUGGAGAAGGGUGGAUCAUCGUACGGUGAUGCUGGACAGCUGGUGGAUGAGCUCAUGGCUCGCCGGAGUCGGCAACCGGGUGGUGGACGGUGA
RNAcentral lists this ribosomal RNA (1389 nucleotides) under Triticum aestivum (bread wheat). RNAcentral's name for it is "partial small subunit ribosomal RNA". Lineage: Eukaryota; Viridiplantae; Streptophyta; Magnoliopsida; Poales; Poaceae. The record is from RNAcentral.